Molecule: ribosomal RNA, 253 nt
Filed under: uncultured bacterium
Lineage: Bacteria
Description: partial 16S ribosomal RNA
Rfam family: Bacterial small subunit ribosomal RNA
Source: RNAcentral
UACGUAGGUGGCGAGCGUUGUCCGGAUUUACUGGGCGUAAAGAGCGCGCAGGCGGUCGUACAAGUCGCGUGUGAAAGCCCCCGGCUCAACUGGGGAGGGUCACGCGAUACUGAUCGACUCGAAGGCAGGAGAGGGAAGCGGAAUUCCCGGUGUAGUGGUGAAAUGCGCAGAUAUCGGGAGGAACACCAAUGGCGAAGGCAGCUCGCUGGGACGGUACUGACGCUGAGACGCGAAAGCGUGGGGAGCAAACAGG